UCCCUGGUGGUCUAGUGGUUAAGACUCCAUGUUCCCAAUCUUGGGAGCCAGGGUUUGAUCCCUGGUCAGGGAA
This 73-nucleotide transfer RNA is filed under the name Bos taurus (domestic cattle). It matches the Rfam family "tRNA". Rfam says of the family: Transfer RNA (tRNA) molecules are approximately 80 nucleotides in length. Their secondary structure includes four short double-helical elements and three loops (D, anti-codon, and T loops). Lineage: Eukaryota; Metazoa; Chordata; Mammalia; Artiodactyla; Bovidae. The record is from Rfam by way of RNAcentral. RNAcentral also lists the same sequence under 4 other names.